GCUACCAUGCAAGUCGAGCGGUAGCACAGAGAGCUUGCUCUCGGGUGACGAGCGGCGGACGGGUGAGUAAUGUCUGGGAAACUGCCUGAUGGAGGGGGAUAACUACUGGAAACGGUAGCUAAUACCGCAUAAUGUCGCAAGACCAAAGUGGGGGACCUUCGGGCCUCAUGCCAUCAGAUGUGCCCAGAUGGGAUUAGCUAGUAGGUGGGGUAACGGCUCACCUAGGCGACGAUCCCUAGCUGGUCUGAGAGGAUGACCAGCCACACUGGAACUGAGACACGGUCCAGACUCCUACGGGAGGCAGCAGUGGGGAAUAUUGCACAAUGGGCGCAAGCCUGAUGCAGCCAUGCCGCGUGUGUGAAGAAGGCCUUCGGGUUGUAAAGCACUUUCAGCGGGGAGGAAGGCGUUAAGGUUAAUAACCUUGUCGAUUGACGUUACCCGCAGAAGAAGCACCGGCUAACUCCGUGCCAGCAGCCGCGGUAAUACGGAGGGUGCAAGCGUUAAUCGGAAUUACUGGGCGUAAAGCGCACGCAGGCGGUCUGUCAAGUCGGAUGUGAAAUCCCCGGGCUCAACCUGGGAACUGCAUUCGAAACUGGCAGGCUAGAGUCUUGUAGAGGGGGGUAGAAUUCCAGGUGUAGCGGUGAAAUGCGUAGAGAUCUGGAGGAAUACCGGUGGCGAAGGCGGCCCCCUGGACAAAGACUGACGCUCAGGUGCGAAAGCGUGGGGAGCAAACAGGAUUAGAUACCCUGGUAGUCCACGCCGUAACGAUGUCGAUUUGGAGGUUGUGCCCUUGAGGCGUGGCUUCCGGAGCUAACGCGUUAAAUCGACCGCCUGGGGAGUACGGCCGCAAGGUUAAAACUCAAAUGAAUUGACGGGGGCCCGCACAAGCGGUGGAGCAUGUGGUUUAAUUCGAUGCAACGCGAAGAACCUUACCUGGUCUUGACAUCCACAGAACUUUCCAGAGAUGGAUUGGUGCCUUCGGGAACUGUGAGACAGGUGCUGCAUGGCUGUCGUCAGCUCGUGUUGUGAAAUGUUGGGUUAAGUCCCGCAACGAGCGCAACCCUUAUCCUUUGUUGCCAGCGGUUAGGCCGGGAACUCAAAGGAGACUGCCAGUGAUAAACUGGAGGAAGGUGGGGAUGACGUCAAGUCAUCAUGGCCCUUACGACCAGGGCUACACACGUGCUACAAUGGCAUAUACAAAGAGAAGCGACCUCGCGAGAGCAAGCGGACCUCAUAAAGUAUGUCGUAGUCCGGAUUGGAGUCUGCAACUCGACUCCAUGAAGUCGGAAUCGCUAGUAAUCGUAGAUCAGAAUGCUACGGUGAAUACGUUCCCGGGCCUUGUACACACCGCCCGUCACACCAUGGGAGUGGGUUGCAAAAGAAGUAGGUAGCUUAACCUUCGGGAGGGCGCUACCACU
RNAcentral lists this ribosomal RNA (1418 nucleotides) under Klebsiella sp. ii_3_chl_1. RNAcentral describes it as "bacterial SSU rRNA". It matches the Rfam family "Bacterial small subunit ribosomal RNA". The record is from RNAcentral. Lineage: Bacteria; Pseudomonadati; Pseudomonadota; Gammaproteobacteria; Enterobacterales; Enterobacteriaceae.